This 25-nucleotide ribosomal RNA is filed under the name uncultured Diversisporaceae. RNAcentral describes it as "partial 28S ribosomal RNA". The record is from RNAcentral. Lineage: Eukaryota; Fungi; Glomeromycota; Glomeromycetes; Diversisporales. RNAcentral also lists the same sequence under 1 other name.
UGACCUCAGCUCAAGCAAGAAAACC